GCGGCUCCUCCGCCGGUUGCAGAGUUCUGCUGGGCGGCUGGCAGAGGACUGAGAGGGAGCACUGUAGCUCAGG
RNAcentral lists this microRNA precursor (73 nucleotides) under Erinaceus europaeus (western European hedgehog). RNAcentral's name for it is "miRNA (ENSEEUG00000016117.1)". The record is from RNAcentral. Lineage: Eukaryota; Metazoa; Chordata; Mammalia; Eulipotyphla; Erinaceidae.